GGUGCAAUCUGGUUCCUACAAUGAAUAUGCUACAACCAACAUAUACCUCAGGGUUUCGAAUGGCUAGGAGAUUGAGUUAUGAUGUAGUCAAACUAUAACACACUCAAGGUGAACUGUCGAUGUACCUCAGGUCAAAGAACUAGACACACAGCUGCAGCAUCGAGCUAGUCAUCGAUGAGAAGGUAGACUUCCUUAUGACUGCUC
RNAcentral lists this long non-coding RNA (204 nucleotides) under Elaeis guineensis (African oil palm). RNAcentral describes it as "long non-coding RNA (EGUI_LNC050133)". The record is from RNAcentral. Lineage: Eukaryota; Viridiplantae; Streptophyta; Magnoliopsida; Arecales; Arecaceae.